RNAcentral lists this microRNA (21 nucleotides) under Mus musculus (house mouse). RNAcentral describes it as "mmu-miR-7221-3p". Lineage: Eukaryota; Metazoa; Chordata; Mammalia; Rodentia; Muridae. The record is from miRBase by way of RNAcentral.
UGACUGUGGGCUGGGGACUGG